GCCUGGGUGGCGGAAUUGGUAGACGCAAGGGACUUAAAAUCCCUCGGUCUUAAAUGGCUGUGUGAGUUCGAUUCUCACCCCAGGCACCA
This 89-nucleotide transfer RNA is filed under the name uncultured Desulfobacteraceae bacterium. RNAcentral describes it as "tRNA-Leu". It matches the Rfam family "tRNA". From Rfam's summary of the family: Transfer RNA (tRNA) molecules are approximately 80 nucleotides in length. Their secondary structure includes four short double-helical elements and three loops (D, anti-codon, and T loops). Lineage: Bacteria; Pseudomonadati; Thermodesulfobacteriota; Desulfobacteria; Desulfobacterales; Desulfobacteraceae. The record is from RNAcentral.